AAAUGAAAAUGAGACUGUAUGUAUUAAAGGAAACCAACUCAAUCAUUUUUCCAGUGUUACAUUAGCACCACCUGUAUUAUUUUGAGAUCCUCAUAAUCCUCAAAAAACAUCUCAAACUCAUCAAAAUAAUACGAAAAACCCUAUCAUAAUCAUUGGUGACGCAAGAAUAAAAUUGAAAAUAAGAGGAAACACAAAUGAAUAGGGUGACAAAAUAAAAAGGGUAGAGAUGUGUAGCCUUCAAAAGAUCAACCUAUAUCAGAAAUCACUUGAUCUGUACAUUUGAUGGAUAAGAAUGAAAAUUACUCAUAAAAGAU
Molecule: long non-coding RNA, 314 nt
Filed under: Lathyrus oleraceus (garden pea)
Lineage: Eukaryota; Viridiplantae; Streptophyta; Magnoliopsida; Fabales; Fabaceae
Description: Pisum sativum (pea) long non-coding RNA (PSAT_LNC040105)
Source: RNAcentral